Molecule: ribosomal RNA, 558 nt
Filed under: Triticum aestivum (bread wheat)
Lineage: Eukaryota; Viridiplantae; Streptophyta; Magnoliopsida; Poales; Poaceae
Description: partial small subunit ribosomal RNA
Source: RNAcentral
AUGUUCUUCCCUGGGCUCUCGCGCCAGCACGGUGCUCCCGAAGCUUCUCCGUACGACGACGACAGAGACCACAGCUUGGUGGUGCUCCUGACCUUCGCCAUCUUCUUCUCCUUCGUCGUUCUCUACCUCAUCGCCGGCGUUCUCUGGGCCUCGGUGAUCACCGCCUUCGCGGUCGCGGUCUCGUUCUGCUACCUCAGCGCCCGCCGGCGUGCUGCGCUGAGGCGCGGCGAGGUCGUCGUCGUCAGCGUGCGUCUCGCUCGGAGCAACGGUGGCCUGCGUCAUCCUGACCCCGCCGUGUCAAGGCUUCCGACGUUCCCGUACAAGAGGGAGGGCGGCGGCGGCGACACGGUGGCAGCUGGGUCGGGGUGGGCGCAGUGCGUCAUAUGCCUGGGGCUCGUGCAGGUCGGCGAGAUGGUCCGGCAGCUGCCGGCGUGCAAGCAUAUGUUCCACGUGGACUGCGUCGACGUGUGGCUGCGCUCCCACUCGACGUGCCCUAUCUGCCGCGCUGUCGUCAUCGAGCUCACCGUCGGGCAGUCAUCUGAGCCGCCUCCCGUUUGA